This is a long non-coding RNA of Pygocentrus nattereri (red-bellied piranha), 1507 nucleotides long. The record is from Ensembl. Lineage: Eukaryota; Metazoa; Chordata; Actinopteri; Characiformes; Serrasalmidae.
UGCUUGUUUUCACAGAUGCCUUCCGCCCGAUGACAGCUGGGAUAGGCUCCAGCACCCCCCACCCCCCGUGACCCUGAGGGAGAAGCGACUUAGAAGAAACACCAUGAAGGACGGUUGACUGAGCCUACAUAUGUAAACAUCUCUGCAGCACAGAAAGGGAAACUCCAAGUGUCUCUACCUUGACUGGUUGAAAAGUCUCAAAAUUAAUUUACAUUUAUGGCAUUUGGCUGACGCUCUUAUCCACAGCGACUUACAAUUUGAUCAUUUUACAUAGGUAGGCCAAGGCGGUGUUAGGUGUUAGGGUGUUUUGCCCUGGUGGGAUUGAACCCCAGUCUACAGUGUAGAAAGCAGAGGUGUUAACCACAACACUAUCCCAACCAAUUCAGAUUCUCAAAACCAAAGAUACAGAGCAGUCUGUGUGUGACAUCAGUGGAGCAAGAGCCCCCACAACCCAAGCAGCCCAGCACAGUUGUGUCUUCACGCUAAGCUGGUAGAACAUUUUUGCCUUUAACAACAAAAGCACUGAAGUAUUAUCCAUAUUGUUACGUUUCAUUCUCACAUUGCUUUUUAUGUCACUUCAAAAAAGAACAUGCAUUUAAGGAAAAAAGUGAUACGCAAAUUGUUUAUGGCAUGCAAUGUAUGAUUAAUAUGACACUUGUUUUUGUGUUUUUCAGCUGUCCUACAUCUUAGACGAAUACAAGGAGGUGAACUUAAUGAAGUGGCCAGUUGGCAUAUACAGUGGCGCUUGAAAGUUACAUCGACCAUAAUGAAAUGAUCAAUAGGAGCCACCAUUGUCUUCCGCAGGACAUAUAUGCCAGUGUUUGCCAAAGGAUACAAAACAAAUCAAUGGAUCCAGAAGUGCGGUCAGUCACGUGGGUCCAGUGUCAGUGCUGUGGGGGUCAGUGACUGUGCUGGAGUGGAAACACUGAAGGAAGACUUGCCGUUCAGCUGUGGAUGUCGCUCUAUCCUUGCAAAAGAUACUACAAGGAUAGGCUCCAGCACCCCCCCCCCUCCCGCGACCCUGAUGGAGAAGCGGCUUGGAAAAUCGGAUAUGUUUUAAAACAACACUACAGAAUCUGGCAUCCCAGAAUGAAGAGAACCUGCAUAGUGUCCCAUUUGUGAAAUCCCUGAUCAGUAGGUGGAACCAGACAUUUCACUGCCAUGACGGACAGUCUGUUCAUUUACUAAUUCAAAUAUUUUAAAUAAUAUUCCGCUUGGAAUUUCUAAAGGAAUUGGUUGUUUUAUGGCCCUGCAAAUGUUGUAUUUCAUUCACUGCUGAGCUAGAAUUUCCAGAAGAACUAAUUUUAUACCUAAAUAAUUGUACCUAUUUAAAUAUUCUGUUAUUCAUCCCUAACUGAGGUGUUUUUUCCAUGAGAUCUGGAUCUUUUAUUUUUCAUUGCCUCCUUUUUGGAUCCUUUUUUUCACUAUCUACAGCUCUCUCUCUCUCUUUUCAUUACCUAUAGCUCCUUCAGUAGCACUUUACUUCACAGAUCGGUAAUGAGGGGGU